AUUGAACGCUGGCGGCAUGCCUUACACAUGCAAGUCUAACGGCAGCACGGGUGCUUGCACCUGGUGGCGAGUGGCGAACGGGUGAGUAAUAUAUCGGAACGUACCUUAUUGUGGGGGAUAACGCAGCGAAAGCUGUGCUAAUACCGCAUAAUCCCUUAGGGGGAAAGCGGGGGACCGUAAGGCCUCGCGCAAUUAGAGCGGCCGAUACCUGAUUAGCUAGUUGGUGAGGGAAAGGCUCACCAAGGCGACGAUCAGUAGCUGGUCUGAGAGGACGAUCAGACACACUGGGACUUCGAAACGGGCUGGACUCCAACGGGAGGGAGCAGGGGGAAAUUUUGGACAAUGGGGGUAACCCUGAUCCAGCAAGGCCGCGAAAGUGAAGAAGGCCUUCGGGUUGUAAAGCGCUUUUGUCAGGGAAAAAACCGCAGCUCUAACACAGUAUGGGAAUGACGGUACCUGAAGAAUAAGCACCGGCUAACUACGUGCCAGCCGCCGCGGUAA
Molecule: ribosomal RNA, 501 nt
Filed under: uncultured bacterium
Lineage: Bacteria
Description: partial 16S ribosomal RNA
Rfam family: Bacterial small subunit ribosomal RNA
Source: RNAcentral